This 356-nucleotide long non-coding RNA is filed under the name Prunus persica (peach). RNAcentral's name for it is "long non-coding RNA (PPER_LNC003474)". The record is from RNAcentral. Lineage: Eukaryota; Viridiplantae; Streptophyta; Magnoliopsida; Rosales; Rosaceae.
AAACACCAAUGUUUUGCAUGACUCGAAAAAGACUAAAAACGAAAAAAUUAAAAAUAAAACCAAUGUUACCCACCUCAAACCUAAACGAAAUAUUUUCCUCAAUGUUUAAAAAGAAAAUGAAAGUAAGGACAAAUAAUAGUAAAAGCAAUGAACGUGGGAAACACACAAACAAAAAUUAAAAAAAUAAGAAACGAAGGUACCUAGUUGGGUUGCCUCCCAACAAGCGCUUAGUUUAGACUCAAUAGCCCGACUUUUAGAUGCGUUAUUUGGGAUUAUUGAGAAGGAUGUUGGUCUCAUCCUUAAGAAAUGCGGCUGCCACAUGUGGUUUUAAGUGAUGGCCUUUGACUUUGAAGGUU